Molecule: ribosomal RNA, 215 nt
Filed under: uncultured bacterium
Lineage: Bacteria
Description: partial 16S ribosomal RNA
Rfam family: Bacterial small subunit ribosomal RNA
Source: RNAcentral
ACGCUCGACACCUACGGGAGGCAGCAGUGAGGAAUAUUGGUCAAUGGGCGCUAGCCUGAACCAGCCAAGUAGCGUGAAGGAUGAAGGCUCUAUGGGUCGUAAACUUCUUUAUAUAAGAAUAAAGUGCAGUAUGUAUACUGUUUUGUAUGUAUUAUAUGAAUAAGGAUCGGCUAACUCCGUGCCACAGCCGCGGUAAUCUGAGCGGGCUGGCAAGC